CAGGCGAUCCACCCACCUCAGCCUCCCAAAGUGCUGGGAUGACAGGCGUGAGCCACUGUGCCCGGCCUAAAUGCCAGCUAUUAAAUAACUCAGGGACUGAAGGCUUGAGGACGCAUCAGGUUAAAUAGUAGUCAGUGCAGCCCUGGGAGAUGCUAAGCCUGGGGCUGCCACAGAUGGUGUGGUAUCUGGGGUUCCCCCAAGGCCAUCAGGCCACUCACUAGCAGGUUUCUGGGUGCCGAAGUGGAGCUCCAGGUCGAGGUAUUUCACCAUGUCACUCAGCUUAUCGUAGUCAGAGUCUUCCCCGAGCUGCGAGGGAGGAUGGGAGGUUCAGAGUAGGAGGAGCAGCAGCAGCUGGACUGGCCUCCCACUUCCCACCCUCUGAGGGCUGCCAUAGGGGCUUCCCGAGCAAAAGCACCCAUCAGGUGCUGGGAUAAAGCCCGGAGCAGGAGGAGACUGCAGGAGAAGCCAGAUCAUCCGAGUCACCGGGUGCUGAGCCAGCGCCUCCUGGGGUCAAUCGAGACUCAAGACUUGGAACACUACUCGUGCAGAAGCCAGCAAGGUCUCCUUGGAGAGCGGUGAGUUCACCAGGGCUGCCCUGGGCAGAGUGAGCUGGUGCUGAGAGAACUGCAACUGUGACAGCCUAGGGGCCAGACGCUGGACACGUGGCUGUGAUGAAUGGCAUAGAUGAGAGACCGCCACACCUCGCCUCACCCGCCUCCCUCCACACCUGCUUGCGUGCCCACCUCCUCGUAGUCGUUCUCCGGGGUCAGGAAAUCAUCCACGAUGGUGACCCGGGGGCCCAGCUGCUCGCUCAGCACGUCCAGGAAGCGAGAUGGGGCCUCACUAUGUUGCCAGGCUGGUCUCAAACUCCUGGGCUCCAUUGAUCCUCCUGCCUCGGCCUCCCAAAGUGCUGGGAUUACAGGCACGACCCACGGUACCCAGGCUACUUUCUUGAUCCACAGCUGAGGAGAAACCAGGCCAUACAGAGAUAGGAGCUGAAGGGACACGGUGAGAAGUGACCAAAAGACAAGAGUGUGAGCCCUCCGUUAUGCCUGGACAGGGCCACUAGAGGGCUCCCUGGUCUACUGGUAACGCCAGUGCCUGGGAAGGCACCCGUUGCUUAGCAGACCGGGAAAGGGAGUCUCCCUUUCCUGGUGGAGUUAAAGAAGACUCUGCUCCACCACUGCUUGCCCGCCCGCAGCCACCCAGAGGCCUAACGCUGUCCCUGUGAUGCUGUGCUUCAGUGGUCACGCUCCUGGUCCGCAUUCAUGUUCUGCCCUGUGCACUCGGCUCCACCUUCUAGAUAGCAGCAGCAGAAUUAGUGAAAGUACUAAAGUCUUUAAAAUGCAUAGAAGAAAUAAUUACGUAAGCUGUCCCCUCUUUCUCUCCGCCUCAGCUACCAAAUAGGGAAGGGCCCCCUGUCUGGCGGACACGUGACUCACAUGACCUUACCUAUCAUUGGAGAUGACUCUCACUCCAUACCCUGCCCCUUUGCCUUGUACACAAUAAAUAACAGCACGGCCAGGCAUUCGGGGCCACUACUGGUCUCCGCGUCUUGGUGGUAGUGGUCCCCCGGGCCCAGCUGUCUUUUCUUCU
This 1596-nucleotide long non-coding RNA is filed under the name Homo sapiens (human). RNAcentral's name for it is "HSALNT0339085". Lineage: Eukaryota; Metazoa; Chordata; Mammalia; Primates; Hominidae. The record is from RNAcentral.